UUUCAUCCAAAAACGUUUUACAAUCUGUUUUGUUUUAAAGUUUCUGUUUUGUUUUCAAUUUUCGUCCAAAACAAGUCCCCCUUUAUUUUGAAGUCUUAGAUUAGUUAGAAUAUGUUUUGAUUUGUGUUUCUAAGUGUUUUGAUUCAAGUCUUCACCCAAUUUCGUCCAAGUUCUUGUUAGGUUCUCAAAACUGCCCAGAAAGUGGUUUUAGGCAGUUUUGAGUCAUUAGGUUGCUGUUUUGAGUUUUGUGUUUGUUCAAGUGUUUUAAACUUUAGUUUUGCAUUCUUUGAGUCUAGUUUAGUGUUUUAAACUUUGUUUUUAUGUUUUUAAGUCAGUUUUCAAGUGUUUAGCAAUCCCUCCUAAUCCCCGGUCUAGAACGAUCCCUACUUACAUCUUUACUACAAUUUGACAAAAAGAGGGUUUAAUUUGUGUGCUUAUCUAUUUCGCAUCAGA
RNAcentral lists this long non-coding RNA (453 nucleotides) under Malus domestica (apple). Its description in RNAcentral is "long non-coding RNA (MDOM_LNC021088)". Lineage: Eukaryota; Viridiplantae; Streptophyta; Magnoliopsida; Rosales; Rosaceae. The record is from RNAcentral.